AGAGUUUGAUCAUGGCUCAGAUUGAACGCUGGCGGCAGGCUUAACACAUGCAAGUCGAACGGUAACAGGGAGAAGCUUGCUUCUUUGCUGACGAGUGGCGGACGGGUGAGUAAUGCUUGGGAAUCUGGCUUAUGGAGGGGGAUAACUACGGGAAACUGUAGCUAAUACCGCGUAAUAUCUUUGGAUUAAAGGGUGGGACUUUCGGGCCACCUGCCAUAAGAUGAGCCCAAGUGGGAUUAGGUAGUUGGUGGGGUAAAGGCCUACCAAGCCGACGAUCUCUAGCUGGUCUGAGAGGAUGACCAGCCACACUGGAACUGAGACACGGUCCAGACUCCUACGGGAGGCAGCAGUGGGGAAUAUUGCACAAUGGGGGGAACCCUGAUGCAGCCAUGCCGCGUGAAUGAAGAAGGCCUUCGGGUUGUAAAGUUCUUUCGGUGAUGAGGAAGGUGUUUGUUUUAAUAGAACAAGCAAUUGACGUUAGUCACAGAAGAAGCACCGGCUAACUCCGUGCCAGCAGCCGCGGUAAUACGGAGGGUGCGAGCGUUAAUCGGAAUGACUGGGCGUAAAGGGCACGCAGGCGGUGACUUAAGUGAGAUGUGAAAGCCCCGAGCUUAACUUGGGAAUUGCAUUUCAUACUGGGUCGCUAGAGUAUUUUAGGGAGGGGUAGAAUUCCACGUGUAGCGGUGAAAUGCGUAGAGAUGUGGAGGAAUGCCGAAGGCGAAGGCAGCCCCUUGGGAAUAUACUGACGCUCAUGUGCGAAAGCGUGGGGAGCAAACAGGAUUAGACACCCUGGUAGUCCACGCUGUAAACGCUGUCGAUUUGGGGAUUGGGCUUAGAGCUUGGUGCCCGUAGCUAACGUGUUAAA
Molecule: ribosomal RNA, 865 nt
Filed under: uncultured bacterium
Lineage: Bacteria
Description: bacterial SSU rRNA
Rfam family: Bacterial small subunit ribosomal RNA
Source: RNAcentral